GAUGAACGCUGGCGGCGUGCCUAAUACAUGCAAGUCGAGCGAACGGACGAGAAGCUUGCUUCUCUGAUGUUAGCGGCGGACGGGUGAGUAACACGUGGAUAACCUACCUAUAAGACUGGGAUAACUUCGGGAAACCGGAGAUAAUACCGGAUAAUAUUUUGAACCGCAUGGUUCAAAAGUGAAAGACGGUCUUGCUGUCACUUAUAGAUGGAUCCGCGCUGCAUUAGCUAGUUGGUAAGGUAACGGCUUACUAAGGCAACGAUGCAUAGCCGACCUGAGAGGGUGAUCGGCCACACUGGAACUGAGACACGGUCCAGACUCCUACGGGAGGCAGCAGUAGGGAAUCUUCCGCAAUGGGCGAAAGCCUGACGGAGCAACGCCGCGUGAGUGAUGAAGGUCUUCGGAUCGUAAAACUCUGUUAUUAGGGAAGAACAUAUGUGUAAGUAACUGUGCACAUCUUGACGGUACCUAAUCAGAAAGCCACGGCUAACUACGUG
This 497-nucleotide ribosomal RNA is filed under the name uncultured bacterium. Its description in RNAcentral is "partial 16S ribosomal RNA". It matches the Rfam family "Bacterial small subunit ribosomal RNA", at positions 28 to 507 of the family's 1533-position model. The record is from RNAcentral.